RNAcentral lists this ribosomal RNA (492 nucleotides) under uncultured bacterium. RNAcentral describes it as "bacterial SSU rRNA". It matches the Rfam family "Bacterial small subunit ribosomal RNA", at positions 28 to 514 of the family's 1533-position model. The record is from RNAcentral.
GAUGAACGCUAGCGGCAGGCCUAAUACAUGCAAGUCGAACGGUAACAGGUGUAGCAAUACAUGCUGACGAGUGGCGCACGGGUGCGUAACACGUAUGCAACUUUCCUUCAACUGGUGAAUAGCCCCUCGAAAGAGGGAUUAAUACACCAUAAUAUAAUGAGAUGGCAUCAUCUUAUUAUUAAAACUCCGGUGGUUGAAGAUGGGCAUGCGCAACAUUAGCUAGUUGGUGAGGUAAAUGGCUCACCAAGGCUACGAUGUUUAGGGGUUCUAAGAGGAUUAACCCCCACACUGGUACUGAGACACGGACCAGACUCCUACGGGAGGCAGCAGUAAGGAAUAUUGGACAAUGGUGGCAACACUGAUCCAGCCAUGCCGCGUGCAGGAUGAAGGCCCUAUGGGUUGUAAACUGCUUUUAUACGGGAAAAAACCUCUCUACGUGUAGAGAGCUGAUGGUACCGUAAGAAUAAGGAUCGGCUAACUCCGUGCCAGCAG